RNAcentral lists this long non-coding RNA (856 nucleotides) under Marmota monax (woodchuck). Lineage: Eukaryota; Metazoa; Chordata; Mammalia; Rodentia; Sciuridae. The record is from RNAcentral.
GUUGAUAGGCCUUUAUUUUAUUUAUUUGUAUGUGGUGCUUAGAAUCGAACCCAGUGUCUCACGGAUGCUAGGCGAGCGUGCUACCACUGAGCCUUUAAAAUUCUUUCCCAAACUAAUACACUGUAGAAAGUAUUUGCAAUUUAUAUAUGAUGACAAGAAAUUAACAGAAAAGCUCAUAAUAGCCUUGUAGAAACAUUAACAAGUAGAAUACAACAACAAAAAUAAAGAAAUAUCAUCAGUAAACAUAAAUAUGUCCAUUCCCAAAAUUUCCAAAAGCAAAUUUUUUAAAAAGGAUAUAUGUGCCAAUUUAUAAAAAAAAUGUAUAAUUUUUAAACAUCUUCAUCAUAUUGAAUCACCUGUAUACAUAAAGUUUGCAUAUUUCAAAAAUAUUUUCCUCUCAUGAAAUUUGCAAAUUUCAAGAGACAGAUGAUAUCCAUCCUAUACAGAUGACAUAGUAUACUGAUAUAAUGGUAUCAGAAAACACGUUGGCCACAUGAUUGAUCUAGUGUGGCUAUGCAACUGUUUCAAUCAUUAGGUAGAAAAGUCAGUUAUUACAAGGACCACUUUUUAUUGUAGUUCAAACCUCAUCAAGCAUCUAAGUCUUCAUUAUUUCUCUCUGUAAAAGGGAAUUAAGUCAGUCUAGCACAAAAACAACUUGAAGAGUAAUCCCAACCUGUAGCUCUUGAUUACAAAUUAUAUGCACAACUUCUAAAAGCACAUUUCUUUAUCCUUCAUCUAAAAAAAUACAAUUAUCUAAGCAGCAUUUUGUAUUGUGUUCUACUGACCUCCCUCAAUGUAUAUACAUUUUGGAAUUGUGUACUUGUAAACCCAGAAAGGAAAUGAAAAUGAAAUAUCA